GGGGCCGCGCUGGAUGUUGCAUUGCGGAGUGGCAGCGGAUACAAUGUAACACAGGAUGUAGCAAACGUAACGCUGUCCCGCUGCAACAUGACACGGCCCAAACACCGUGGAGAAUGCACCUUCAUUUGAACCCUCAAAUCACCUCAGCGAGCAACCUGGCGCUCUCGCCCACUGCAUACAGCUUGCCCAGCGCCCGCUGCCCUCCAUAAUGGCGACUCAUCAGGACGGCUGCAGUGUCAAAGUCGCUUUAAGAAUUCGUCCACAGUCAGCCAAAGAGAAGAUUGAGGGAUGCCAUAUCUGUACAUUAGUGACACCAGGGGAGCCACAAGUUAUUAUGGGCAAAGACAAGGCUUUCACAUUUGACUUUACGUUUGAUAUGGAUGCCAGACAAAAUGAAGUCUAUAAAUCCUGUGUUGGUAAACUGGUGGAAGGGUGCUUCGAAGGAUACAAUGCAACCGUGUUUGCUUAUGGACAGACGGGUUCUGGCAAGACGUACACUAUGGGCACUGGGUUCAAUGUGAACAUAAUGGUGGAGGAGCAAGGAAUAAUUCCUCGUGCGGUCAAGCAUCUUUUCGAGGGGAUUGCAGAGCGAAAGCAAGCUGACCAGGACAACGGAAGCCAAGCGCCGGAGUUUAAAGUCACCGCUCAAUUUCUGGAGCUCUACAAUGAAGAGGUCUUGGAUCUGUUUGACAGUACACGAGAAUUGGAUUCACGCCAUAGGAAGUCCAAUAUUAAAAUCCAUGAAGGUGCCAACGGAAACAUUUACACCAGUGGGGCAGUUUCACGUGUUGUUAACACCGAACAAGAGAUGAUCCAGUGCCUGAAGCUGGGGGCUCUUGCUCGAACCACGGCGAGCACACAGAUGAAUGCUGAGAGCUCGCGCUCCCAUGCUAUUUUUACAAUCCACAUCUGCCAAAUGAGGGUCUGCCCAAGACAAGACAUGGUGAACGGAGAGAUAAACGGAGUGGUACAUGAAUCACAGCCCGUCAAUGAGUACGAAACACUUACAGCCAAAUUCCACUUUGUUGACCUUGCCGGUUCAGAAAGGCUGAAGCGGACAGGAGCCACAGGAGAGAGGGCCAAAGAAGGCAUCUCCAUCAACUGUGGUCUGCUAUCACUGGGAAACGUUAUCAGUGCACUGGGAGACCAGAGCAAGAAGAGCCAUCACGUGCCGUACCGAGACUCCAAAUUGACAAGGCUUCUUCAGGAUUCACUGGGAGGAAACAGUCGCACCAUUAUGAUCGCUUGCAUAAGCCCAUCUGACCGUGACUUCAUGGAGACUCUCAACUCCCUGAAAUAUGCCAAUCGAGCCCGAAAUAUCAAGAACAAAGUUACGGUUAACCAGGACAAAACCAGUCAGCAAAUCAGCACUCUGCGAGCUGAGAUUGUUCGGCUCCAGAUGGAGCUGAUGGAAUACAAGACGGGUAAACGAGUCAUUAAUGCUGAUGGUUCUGAAGGCUACAACGACUUAUGCCAUGAAAACAGCAUGCUACAGAAAGAAAAUGACACGUUGAGAAUGAGAUUAAAAGCCAUGCAAGAAACCAUCGACGCACUGAAUGACAGAGUGACACAACUCUUGAGUAACGAAGCCGCUCAGAUAAUCGCCAGUGCAGGAGAUGGCAACGAAGAAAUCAGUGCGCUGAUUCAAAAUUAUAUUCGGGAAAUACAGGAGUUAAGGACCAAGCUGUUGGAGAGUGAAGCCAUGAAUGAGUCUCUUCGCCGCAACGUCUCUCGACUGACGUCCAGGUCUCCGUAUUCAGCGGGAUUGUCUCCCAUGCCUUGCUCUGCAAAUUUCGCCGUCUCUCUGGAAUCCGAUACCUCUGAGGUUGUUGAACUGGCAAAAAAGGACUUGGAGCUGCUGAAGAAAGAAAGGAUACAAAGGAAAAAUAGUCCAGAGAAAGAGAAAAGAAGAAGAAAUGUAACGACGGAGAAUUGGGAAGAGACAGAUGACAAUGAAGCAGAAGAGGAAGAAAGUUGCUGUGAAGAAGAAGAAGAAGGUGGAGAUGAAGAUGAGUUUGACAGCGAUGGAAGUCUGGAUGAAACGGAUACUGAAUCGGAGGAGAAAGUCAAUUAUCAGGCUGACCUUGCUGACAUAACCUGUGAGAUUGAAAUCAAGCAGAAACUGAUCGAUGAGCUUGAGAACAGCCAACGACGAUUGCAAAUAUUGAGGCAACAAUACGAGGAAAAGCUUAUCCUCCUGCAGAACAAAAUCCGGGACACACAGCUGGAAAGAGACCGUGUUCUGAAGAACCUCGGUUCUAUGGAGUGCAACACGGAAGAGAGAGCCUGCAAGAUUAAAGCAGACUACGAGAAAAAACUAAAGGAGAUGAACCGAGAGCUCCUGAAACUGCAGACGGCACAGAAAGAACAUGCACGCCUCCUCAAAAAUCAAACUCGUUACGAACGGGAGUUGAGGAAACUGCAGAAUGAAGUGGCUGAGAUGAGGAAGACGAAGGUGACUCUGAUGAAACAGAUGAGGGAUGACCAGCAGCGAAUGAGGAUGAUCGAAAGCAAGAGGAACCGUGAAAUAGCACAGCUGAAAAAGGAACAGCGACGACAAGAAUACCAAAUUCGAACUUUGGAGUCCCAGAAGAGGCAACAGGAACUUGUGCUACGCAGGAAAACACAAGAGGUCAGCGCUCUACGAAGAUUAGCCAAGCCCAUGUCCAACCGAGUUGCUGGUCGUGUAAGCCGUAAACAGACUAUCUUGGAUUCGGGCAUGGAACUGUCAGCCAGUACUUCUUCAGAGGCAGAGUCAGCCUCCAAGUCCGUGUCCAAUAUCGUUAAACAGUGGAACAGAAAGUUAAAUGCCGCUUGGAAUGAAACCGUUUCUGCGGUAAAUGGAACCAGAACUGUGAGAAAGAACAAGUACCAGAAGAAGGGAGUUGGUGAAAUCUUUUCCAAAGCAGCUCGGCUGAAGUGGCAGGCGCUGGAGUCCAGGAUCAGUGACAUUGUGAUGCAGAGGAUGACAAUCUCCAACCUGGAAGCGGACAUGAAUCGUCUUCUGGCGAAACGGGAGGAACUAAUUGGCCUCCAGGAAAUUCUACACGGGAAAAGGGAACGGAUUUGCAAUGAAAAUCCGGACGAUAGAUCUAUCCAGGAAAUAAACGAGGAGCUUGAGACCUUGAAUGCCAACAUUGACUACAUCAAUGAUAACAUUUCUGAAUGCCAGGCCACCAUCAUGCAGAUCGAAGAAACCAAGGAUGAGAUUAAUUCAACCGACACGUCUGUUGUGAUAAGUUCGUGUUCCCUAGCUGAAGCACGCCAUCUGCUGGAUCACUUUCUGAAAAUGUCAAUCGACAAGGGUAUGCAGGUGGCCCAGAAAGAGGCUCAGAUUAAGCUGCUGGAAGGUCGAUUGAAGCAAGUGGAUGUGACUGAUUCGAUUCCAAAUCAGCUGAUUAGCAUGCUGCGGGAGAAGGCUGAAUCUAUUCCUGAACUGCAGACGUUGCUUCAAAGUGUCUCACAAGAAAAUGGAGAAAUAAGCAGCGAUGAGGAAACCUCUGAGUGUAGCAUCGGGCUGGACAGUAGUUCAAUUUCAAGUUCUCACCCGAAGCAUUCACUGAGUCAAGGAGAUUUCAGGAUACAGACUGAGCAAAGAACGGAGCUACAUUAUCAGGAAGGUUAUGGCUCAGCUCUGGACAUGUCUACCCCAGGGCUAUUUAGAGCAGCUGACGGGAAAGAAAAUGGCAUCAAGACUGUUGACAUCCUCACACGGAGCCCAAAGGAUAAAGAGUCCAUCGUUUUUCAACCCAGGUCCGGAAACACUUUUCCCAGGCAGUCUACUAAGAAACUGCAGGAUACGUCACCACUCUCAAGGAGAAAAUCCUACGAUAAAGUACAGAUCUUAACUGACAAAUCCAGAUCUGAAUGGAGAGUUUCUGAAAUGAAUCUAACGCCUCCGUCCUCCCCACCCACCCGAGCUCGUAACGACAGGAACGUGUUCUCACGACUCAGCAAUACCCAGCUUCAAACAUUCCCUGCACACGACAAGUCUGAUGACAGUGACUCCUCUCUCUCGGAGGUUCCCAGGGGCGUUAUUAAUCCGGUCGGUGGAACCAAGGGUGGCAGGACUGCGCCGCUCCAGUGCAUUUCAGUUGCUGAAGGACAUUCUAAACCUGUGCUGUGUCUUGAUGCAACCAAUGACCUGCUGUUCACCGGUUCAAAAGAUCGGACCUGCAAAGUGUGGAAUCUGGCCACGGGACAGGAAAUCAGUACCCUGAAAGGACAUCCGAACAAUGUGGUCUCGGUCAAAUACUGCGGUUACUCCAGCCUUGUGUUCACUGUGUCUACAUCGUACAUCAAAGUCUGGGAUAUCCGAGACACUCCUAAAUGCAUCAAGACACUAACAUCCUCUGGUCAAGUAACUUCAGGUGAUGCAUGUACAGGAACAGUCAGUCGCACGGUGAGCAUUGCACAAGGUGAACACCAGAUCAACCAGAUUGCGCUGAACCCCACAGGCACUCUCCUCUACGCUGCAACUGGUAACUGUGUUCGCAUCUGGGACCUUAAGAAAAUUCAACCUGUAGGAAAACUCAUGGGUCACAUUGGUCCUGUGAUGUGCCUCACAGUGGAGAGAGCAGCGGCUAAACAUGAUUUGGUCAUCACUGGCUCUAAAGACCAUUAUGUGAAGAAGUUUGAAAUAGCUGAGAGUACUCUGGGAAAUGUUGGUCCCACACAUAAUUUUGAGCCUCCACACUACGACGGGAUUGAAUCUCUGGGAAUCCAUGGAGACAUCCUGUUCAGUGGAUCGAGAGACAAUGGAAUCAAAAAAUGGGACUUGGAAAGACAAGAACUAAUACAGCAAAUCCCAAACGCUCACAAAGAUUGGGUGUGCGCGCUGGCAUUUGUCCCAGGUCGUGACAUGUUGCUAAGUGGUUGCCGAGGGGGAAUACUUAAAGUUUGGAACAUCGACAACUUCACCCUGCUGGGAGAGAUCAGAGGGCAUGACAGUCCUAUUAAUGCCAUCUGCACAAACUCCAGCAGGAUUUUCACUGCAUCCAGUGAUUGCCGGGUAAAGCUAUGGAAUUAUGUGGCGGGUCUUACUCCUUGUUUACCUCGACGUGUCCUUGCCAUUAAGAGCCGUGCCAGUAGCAUACCUUAAACCCCUGAUUUCUGCUCUUCUCUGCACUUAGUUCAUCUUCGCUGCUCAUCGUGACUGUAGAAUAAAAACUUGGACUGCUAAAGGAUUAAAAAAUGGGUACGUUAUGGACAUUAGAGACAGCGGUCAGGAACUCUCUUGACACCAUCCAAGGGUGCACUUCAUGCCA
Molecule: RNA transcript, 5267 nt
Organism: Amblyraja radiata (thorny skate)
Lineage: Eukaryota; Metazoa; Chordata; Chondrichthyes; Rajiformes; Rajidae
Gene: kif21b
Gene name: kinesin family member 21B
Exons: 36
Source: RefSeq, a predicted model, not a curated record